CUACGGGUUGCUGCAGUGAGGAAUAUUGCACAAUGGGGGGAACCCUAAUGCAGCAACGCCGCGUGGAGGAUGACGCAUUUCGGUGUGUAAACUCCUUUUAUAUGUCAAGAAAAUGACGGUAGCAUAUGAAUAAGCACCGGCUAACUCCGUGCCAGCAGCCGCGGUAAUACGGAGGGUGCAAGCGUUACUCGGAAUACUGGGCGUAAAGGACGCGUAGGCGGGUUGGAAAGUCAGGUGUGAAAUCCUACAGCUUAACGGUAGAACUGCACUUGAAACUUCUAAUCUAGAGUAUGGGAGGGGGAGAUGGAAUUAGUGGUGUAGGGGUAAAAUCCGUAGAUAUCACUAGGAAUACCUAAAGCGAAGGCGAUCUCCUGGAACAUUACUGACGCUAAGGCGUGAAAGCGUGGGGAGCAAACAGGAUUAGAUACCCCCGUAGUC
RNAcentral lists this ribosomal RNA (438 nucleotides) under uncultured bacterium. RNAcentral describes it as "partial 16S ribosomal RNA". It matches the Rfam family "Bacterial small subunit ribosomal RNA", at positions 339 to 795 of the family's 1533-position model. The record is from RNAcentral.